Molecule: long non-coding RNA, 317 nt
Organism: Haliotis rubra (blacklip abalone)
Lineage: Eukaryota; Metazoa; Mollusca; Gastropoda; Lepetellida; Haliotidae
Exons: 3
Source: RefSeq, a predicted model, not a curated record
GGGGCACGGAUGCCCCCGCUGCUGUAGAAAGAUUUCUCACAUUCAGAUUCCCACUGAACUACUUGAAAACACUAAACACAAUGUGUUGAGGGGUUAGAUAACACAACCUAUUAUCAUAUAAAGAUCAAUAAUUGAACAAAAUUCACGAACAAGUUCAAUAAAUAUCUAUGCAACUAUGAGAUGCACAUCUUUCGAGUCCCAGUGAAACACAUGUGUAAGCUUAAUCAAUUCUUUUGAGCAGUUUUUGUGGAGAAGUGGAUAGACUUAAUCCCCUAUUUCACUAUCAUCAGUGAGAAAUUCAACAAACUUUAUCUAAG